This 722-nucleotide ribosomal RNA is filed under the name gamma proteobacterium IMCC14647. RNAcentral's name for it is "bacterial SSU rRNA". It matches the Rfam family "Bacterial small subunit ribosomal RNA", at positions 28 to 743 of the family's 1533-position model. The record is from RNAcentral. Lineage: Bacteria; Pseudomonadati; Pseudomonadota; Gammaproteobacteria.
AUUGACGUUGGCGGCAGGCUUUAGACAUGCAAGUCGAACGGGUACAGCAGAGCUUGCUCUGGCUGACGAGUGGCGGACGGGUGAGUAACGCGUAGGAAUCUACCCAGUAGCGGGGGAUAGCCCGGGGAAACCCGGAAUAAUACCGCAUACGCCCCACGGGGGAAAGAGGGCCUCUUCUUGAAAGCUCUCACUAUUGGAGGAGCCUGCGUUGGAUUAGCUAGUUGGUGGGGUAAAGGCCUACCAAGGCGACGAUCCAUAGCUGGUCUGAGAGGACGAUCAGCCACACUGGAACUGAGACACGGUCCAGACUCCUACGGGAGGCAGCAGUCAGGAAUAUUGUGCAAUGGGGGAAACCCUGACACAGCCAUGCCGCGUGUGUGAAGAAGGCCUUAGGGUUGUAAAGCACUUUCAGUAGGGAGGAACUAGCAGCGUUAAUACCGCUGUGAGAUGACGUUACCUACAGAAGAAGAUCCGGCUAACUCCGUGCCAGCAGCCGCGGUAAUACGGAGGGAUCGAACGUUAAUCGGAAUUACUGGGCGUAAAGCGCGCGUAGGUGGUUUGUUAAGUGGGAUGUGAAAGCCCCGGGCUCAACCUGGGAACUGCAUUCCAAACUGACAAACUAGAGUACGAUAGAGGGGGGUAGAAUUCAGAGUGUAGCGGUGAAAUGCGUAGAUAUUCUGAGGAAUACCGGUGGCGAAGGCGGCCCCCUGGAUUGAUACUGA